This 253-nucleotide ribosomal RNA is filed under the name uncultured bacterium. Its description in RNAcentral is "partial 16S ribosomal RNA". It matches the Rfam family "Bacterial small subunit ribosomal RNA", at positions 524 to 776 of the family's 1533-position model. The record is from RNAcentral.
CACGGGGGGAGCAAGCGUUGUUCGGAAUCACUGGGCGUAAAGGGAGUCUAGGCGGUCAGGUAAGUGGGAUGUGAAAUCCCUCGGCUCACCCGAGGACCUGCAUCCCAAACUGUCUGGCUUGAGUACGGGAGAGGAUAGGGGAAUUCCUGGUGUAGCGGUGAAAUGCGUAGAUAUCAGGAGGAACACCGGUGGCGAAGGCGCCUAUCUGGCCCGAUACUGACGCUGAGGCGCGAAAGCUAGGGGAGCAAACGGG